UUUCAAUCUCAACUUCAACAAAUUUCCAAAAUUUAAAAGAACCCAUCAAUCAAAAUCACAUACUUCCAUCAAAGAAACCACCUUUUACCCCCAAAAAACAAAGUAAAAAACAAUUCAAGAUAAAAUAAAACAAAAAAACAUAGAAAAAAAAAAACCAUAAACACCCGGAGAAGCAAAUCAGAAGAUAGAUCAAGAGAAACAAACCAUCGCCAUCCUUAUCGAACAAACUGAAAGCUUCCUUGAACUCAGAGAUCUGGUCAUCCGUCAAUUGAUCCGCCAUUUCUCUUUU
Populus euphratica (Euphrates poplar) is the source of this 289-nucleotide long non-coding RNA. RefSeq lists it as uncharacterized. The transcript has 2 exons. The record is from RefSeq and is a predicted model, not a curated record. Lineage: Eukaryota; Viridiplantae; Streptophyta; Magnoliopsida; Malpighiales; Salicaceae.